This 492-nucleotide ribosomal RNA is filed under the name uncultured bacterium. RNAcentral's name for it is "partial 16S ribosomal RNA". It matches the Rfam family "Bacterial small subunit ribosomal RNA", at positions 29 to 507 of the family's 1533-position model. The record is from RNAcentral.
AGUGAACGCUGGCGGUAGGCCUAACACAUGCAAGUCGAACGGCAGCACAGUAAGAGCUUGCUCUUACGGGUGGCGAGUGGCGGACGGGUGAGGAAUACAUCGGAAUCUACUUUUUCGUGGGGGAUAACGUAGGGAAACUUACGCUAAUACCGCAUACGACCUACGGGUGAAAGCAUGGGAUCUUCGGACCUUGCGCGAUUGAAUGAGCCGAUGUCGGAUUAGCUAGUUGGCGGGGUAAAGGCCCACCAAGGCGACGAUCCGUAGCUGGUCUGAGAGGAUGGUCAGCCACACUGGAACUGAGACACGGUCCAGACUCCUACGGGAGGCAGCAGUGGGGAAUAUUGGACAAUGGGCGCAAGCCUGAUCCAGCCAUACCGCGUGGGUGAAGAAGGCCUUCGGGUUGUAAAGCCCUUUUGUUGGGAAAGAAAAGCAGCAGGUUAAUACCACGCUGUUCUGACGGUACUCAAAGAAUAAGCACCGGCUAACUUCGUG